AAUUUUAUCCCUUUUUGGGGUGCCCGGUGGCUCGGUCCGUGGACCAUGCGAGUCUUGACCUCGAGAUUGUGAGGUUGAGCCCCACGCUGGGUGUAGAGAUUACUUGAAAAUAAAAUCUUUUUUAUUUAAAUAUGAAAUUUAUUGUCAAAUUGGUUUCCAUACAACACCCAGUGCUCAUCCCAACAGGUGCCCUCCUCGAUGCCCGUCACCCACUUUCCCCUCCCUCCCGCCCCCCAGGAAAUAAAAUCUUAAAAACAUAGAAUUUUGUUCCUUUUGAAGGCUGAAGAACGUUUCAUUGUAUGUCUCUUGUCACAUUUUGUUUAUCCAUAUGACAUUUUGUUUAUUCAUUCAUUAUUGGUUGCUUGGGGUACAAAUAUCUGUUCCAGUCCCGACUUGCGAUUCUUUUGAGUUUACGCCCAGAAGUGGAAUUGCUUCAAAUAUCUUUUAGACAUCUACUGAUGUCAUGUUUUUGCCCUCUGAUACAUUCAUAUUACUAAUUAUAGUAACAUAAUUCCUAAUUGAAUCAUCUGUGCACUCUUGACAUGAACUUCACUUGAUUCAUUCUCCUUCCUUCCUUCCUUUCUCUCUCUCCUUUUUUUCUUGAAACAGUACCCUUUUAUUCUUUUUUAAUGUUUAUGUACUUGAGAGACAGCAUGAGUGGGAGAGAAGCAGAGAGAGAGGGAGAGAGAGAAUCCCAAGCAGGCUCCUGGCUGUCAGCGCAGAGCCCGACGCGGGGCUCGAUCCCACAAACCGUGAGAUCAUGACCUGAGCCGAAAUGAAGAGUCAGACGCUUAACUGACUGAGCCACCCACAUGCCCCCCCCCCAUUACUCUUGAAAUCGUUGUUCUAUAGAUGAUAAAUUAUAUGGGCACAGUUCAAUACAGCACCCCAACAGUUAUCAUUUCUAUUGUAUAGGUUAAAGGGGGAAGGUUCAGAGAGGUUAGCUGACCUCCUCAAGGUCACACGGCUAGAAUUUGUCAUUAAAACACAGGUGCAGAGCAAGCCGAGUGCUAUUUCUUGUGCCUGGAAAUAGUCCUUGUACCCCCACCCCAAAUACAAAUGUCACACUUUCUGACUACAUAUUUGGGGGGGGGGGGCUAAAUUAUUUUUUUAUUAAAUCCCUCUCCUCGGGGAACCUGGGUGGCUCAGUCAGUGGAGUGGCUGACUCUUGAUUUCAGCUUGGGUUGUGAUCCCAGGGUCAUGAGAUCGAGCCCCAGGUCCACACCCAGGGUGAAGCCUGCUUGGGAUUCUCUCUCUUUCCCUCUGUCCUUCUCUCCUGCUUGUGCUCUCUCUCUCUCUCUCU
Neofelis nebulosa (Clouded leopard) is the source of this 1303-nucleotide long non-coding RNA. RefSeq lists it as uncharacterized. The transcript is spliced from 2 exons. The record is from RefSeq and is a predicted model, not a curated record. Lineage: Eukaryota; Metazoa; Chordata; Mammalia; Carnivora; Felidae.